This is a long non-coding RNA of Lolium perenne, 11017 nucleotides long. RefSeq lists it as uncharacterized. NCBI's taxonomy places the organism in Eukaryota, Viridiplantae, Streptophyta, Magnoliopsida, Poales, Poaceae. The record is from RefSeq and is a predicted model, not a curated record.
CUCGGGAGCGCAAGCCCGCAAAGUUCUUGGUCGAUGGGAUCGUCCGCGCCACGUUCCGCUGCUACCGGGGCGCAUGCCACUGCUUGGCAUAUACGCUGCCAACUUCUUCCUCUACACCAUCAUGUCAAAUCAGGACGCUCUCAAGGCUGAUUAGAGGAUUAACUUCAGUGGAUGCAGGAGCUUCAUGCUCUGGCAGACGGCGGUGCACCACGCUGUCGCUGAUGACACCGGGUCGGAAUGGGCGCUGGUGUACUCGUUGUCUCAUCAGACCACAGCCGGAGCAAGCAGAACAAUGGGAUUCCCUUUCUCUUUUUGGCCUGACGUCUAGCUCCUGCUCCUCCUCACAAAGUUUCUCCUGCUCCUCCUCCCAAAUUUUGGAGGCCGCCACCGCUGAUCGACGAUUUGGAGGAGUCUGAAGCGCCGAUGCAAGCACUGUGAAUCAGAGUUUAAGCAGCGUUGGGUAAGCACGCGGCAUGUACAAAAAAGGAGCAGAUUUUCUCCACCUACUUCGAGUAUUUGACUACCAGCUUGGCGUCCUAACUCAUUAUCAGCAAUAUGCCAUUUGAGAGUGAGUGUUGCCGUAUGCCAUUGCCAUGCUAUGAGGUCUUCCCCGAGACAAAGAGCCAAAGUUUUCAGCAGAAAAAAACAUCACUACAGGUGACCUCUUCUCCUUUUCCCGUUAAUCCCUUUUCUUCGUUUGGCUUAGAAAAAAUAUUAUUGACAUAUAUUAGUGCCAAUCUGUUACACAUGCACCAGCCGUUGUCAUUCCAUAGACAAAAAAGAACAGUGUGACCUUCAAAUCUUACUUUGAGGUCUACUUAUUUACGCCAUAUUCAGAACCAGUACAUUUACAAUGAUCAAACAAAUGAUAACUACAUGGUAAUGUAAGACCUAAAAGCAAAGUUGUACAUGUUCGGAUUAGCAGUAAAAUAAAGUGCUCUUGAUGCGUGUUUCUGUGUGCAGCUCCCAUAAUCAGAAGCGUUCUUGAUAUUUGUUUCUGUGUGAAGCAACUAAAACUCUGUAUAAAAAUUAGACAAAAAAACAGGGGUGAUCUUCAAGCAUAUUUUCUGAGAUAGAGAACUGUCUACCUAUGCCAUACUCAGAACAAUACAUCUAGGCUACUCACACUAACCAAAAUUAUGUGUUAAAUUAUGAACUGGAAACAUAGUUGUACGAUGUCCGGUUUUUCAGUAAAAAUAUGUUCAUGAUGCUGCUCAGUAAGGUUAGCAAAUAGUGCAGACAUGAGAUUCUAAACUCUAAAUUAGUGGCCACCCAAUUGGUGACAAAUCACUAUCUAGCAAACCAAAUUAUACAAUAAAAGAACAAUACAGUUUUUCCUUCAUUGUUACUUUUAUAGCAUACUAUAGAUAAAGUGUAUUUGUCUGAUGGGUAAACUAAAUAAAUCAGGGAUGUUAAACACGUAAAAUGCGGGAAACAAAAGGUGAAAAAUAUGUAGAAAGAUCAACCAAUCAUCUAUUUUUCAUAUGUAUUAAAAAUAAUCUUAAGAUGUAUGAUGAACAUACCUUCCGUCGAUUUCAAUUCGAGCAUAGAUCAACUUUAAACUAUUGCAAUAGACAAAGAAAAAGUGGAAUAUUUGCCGCUCGCAUAUAGCUUUCCGAGAUAAAUAUCAAACUACACGACAUUUAUUUACCAUGAGCGAGAUAACACGAUGUAGAUGCAUAGCAACAAAGAAAAACACAGAAAUAGUCUUUGCGAGGUAUAUCGUGAAAAAUAUUAGAACAUAGACACAACAGAUAGUACCAAAUAAAUUGCAGUGAACGCUCACUUCUUCCAUCUUAUUUUCAGGAAUUUCAUGUGUGGUCUGAACUUUCUCCAUCUUCCACAUCUUAUUCUAGCAUCAACUAUAGUCUUACAAAAUUGAACCCACGAAAACCUUAUCAUAUUUGUGUAAAUCUAAAUGCUAGUAUGAAAUACUGUGAGUGCUCUGUUCUUCUAUGAGACCAUAUCUUGCCGUUCUUCUAUAAGGCUCCAUCUUGCGCAAUCAAUUGCACUUUAUAAUUUAAAAGAAAAAGGAAAGGAAAUUUCUAUAAAUUAUGUCGGUACCCACAUAGAAAAUACGCUGAAACCAAUGGAAGCGAAAACUACGAAACUAUUAAAGGUUUCAUCAUGAAGAUUAUAUAACAAGGUACAUAAAUAUUUAGGCAACUAUCUAGGUAUCACAAAUAUGGACAACAAUGCCUCAAAAUUUCUCAUGAAAAGAAAAUUAGGGAAGUCUGAAAUAUAAAUUAAGAGCUAGCAUACCUUGUAACAGAAGGAACUCAUAAGUAAUACUUCGGGUCUAAGACCUAAAAUUAAUCCCAUCAAGAAUACUGUGAAGCUGCAGAUCAUGACAAAGAACUGUCUUUUAGUUUUCAAUGUUUUUUAUCGAAAAGAAUGUGCAUGUGUGUAUGUAAUCAUGGACAUAGUGUUUUGGAUUAGAAAGAUGCAGAGGAUGAGAAAUAUCUUGAGUUCUUACCAAACUACUACCUCUGGACUUCUUUAAUUGACGCGCCCGCAUGCAUACAUUCUCCUCUAGCUAGCUAGCCUUCGCGUCAAUUAUAUCCGGACGGAGGGAGUAAUUAGUAAGCCCCAACUCUCUGGUUUACUAAUUAUCAUUUAUUUUCUUCUUCCUUUUUAUAGUACAUCUCUCUAAUACAUUCAGGUUCAUCAUCUUCUCAUUGCAAAACAUGCAUUUGAAAUGACAUUCUAUCAGAAAUAGCAAAAACAGAUUUGCAGACCCUAGCAAAGGAUUCACGCUAUAACAUAGUAGAAAUGUUUUAUUAUAUGACCUUCACUCAAAGAUAUGGCUUGAAGUAGGUUUGCCUUUUUUCUUUCUAGUCUGUUCCACUUUAUUCCUGUGAACGUUGAGGCAAUCCUCCUCCAGUUGCAAUAGCACACUGUCCCGUUCAAGUUCAUCGAUCCUAAACAAUUUCUCUCCAUUGUUCUUGCAUCAACAGAUCCAAUAUUUAGACAAUUCUAAUAAAAUUUUAUGUAGAAAGAAACAAAAGAAGCAAGAACAACAUGACACCUGGCUUAAGUACAUACCAAGACAUAAAUAAAUGCAAAAUAGGAAAAUUAUAGACAAAAGUUUGCCAGAAUCAUAACUACAUCCCAGCGAACCAGAGUGAGUAGGAAAAAUGGUAUGAGUCUACAUCAUAAAAUUUUUAAUCAACGGUGAACACAGAGAAAAAGAAUGGGCAUAAAGAUUGAACUAUGGUGCAAUACUUGGAUUGCAGCCAGAUCUUCCAAAAUCGCAAAACACACAAGCAGAUCACUCAAUACCUUCGUGACUUCAUCCCUAUAUGACAAUAUGAAUGGAAACACAUGAUAAUGAUAAUCAACAAACAACUCUUUGUGGGCAAAUCAAAUCGACUAAUUAUUACCUUGAAGAUGGGUGACUUGAUAGCCACUUCCAGCUCCAUCUUCACGGCAGAAACCACAAAGGGUUCCCCAUGGUGGUAUGGUGAGUAGGCAAUUUGUCGCUGACACCAUGAUCUCGCCGGUGAUCCGUGGCCUCAAGGUGCGGUGCACGACCAGAGCAGCCGCCGCUGCUGCCCGAUGGCUGUAUCAGGCCGCUGAACUUGGUCGCCAUUCUCUAGAUCGUGUCCAGGCAUCAGUAUUACUCCGCAUCCAUCUGCGCAUAACCAGAGAGCACAAUGGUUAUUGGCAAAUCAUGUAAUAAAACUAAAAAAUGUAUGGAACCAUAAAACAAUUAGAGCUCACAAACCUGCAUACCCACAUAGACUAAGGAGCAGAUGAAUAGAAGGGGAAAAUAAUAUUGCUGGAGAGCACUAACCUGCUGGUCGAUUUUGGUCAUCAUCGUCGGCAUCCGCCAAUCCAAAGUGUGCUCGACUUGAAUCAAAGCUGAUGCAAACGAUCUUGAUGGAAAACGCACGAAGGAGCUCGGCCGGGCCCCUUGGCAGGGCCGGCGCCGCCUGGGCUGCGUCCGCGAUAGAGGGAUCUGACGUGGUGGAGGACGCAUCAGAUUUUGGAGCUCUGGGAUGGGAAUCCCCUCCAACUCGUCCUUGUCCUAGAAAUCCAGUGAUGAAGUGGGAUUCGGAGGCACGGGAUUGUGGUGGUCAAUGGAGGCGAAAGAGAGGAUAUGGGUGGCGGGAUCGGCGCGGACAGGAGGUGAACGUCGAGGCGGAGCAUCUCCUCGCCAUCGUCGCCAUACGCGAGGUCGGCGGCUGUGCCGUGGAGGAGCUCUCUCCUCGCCAUCGCCGCCAGACGUGUGCUCGGCGGCUGCGUCGUGGAGGAUCUCGUCCAUCUUGAAGCCAUCGUGUUGAGGUGGACAGAGGAGAAUAAAAAAUCUACAAAACGUGAGCCGAUUGGGGACUUGGAGUGCUAUUAAGGGAAGGCAGGCGGGGAGACAAAAUAAAGCGGUGCCAGAGCCCACCACCACACGUCUAGGCCCCACCAUAAAACAAUAAUGCUAUGUCCCGGGCCAAAGAAAAUGCAGCACACACCAAAGGAAAGGAACAACAAAAAAUGCAAGAAAACACCAGAUAUGCACACAGGAAAAUCACAUUGGAAAUCAACCAGAAAACUAUAUACGUGUCAGCUACAGGUUAAUCCCAAAAAAAGUCCAAAACUCUGAGAAAAAGCGAAGCUGUUGAGGAUUAAUAUAGUAGUUAUAAUUGGUAAAAAUAAAUACUUAGUUAUACAUUAUUAUCAUCAUCAUCACUAUCUCUACUACUUCUAGUGCUAUUAUUAAUAUUGGUACUAUUACUACACUAUGAUGCGACUAGCAUGAGCCAUUAGUUAAUUACAUGUACAUUUCAUUCUUAUGUGAUAUUGUUAUCUUAAUAAGACUACAUGGACCAUUCCAUGUAUUGUGUUUCUUAUGGUUUUUUUACUAUGUAUUGUUUUUCUUACAUUUUUUAUAUAAUUGGUUGAUGUGGGUAUUCUCGUAUAAGGAUCAAUAAAUCUCAAAAUUGAAAGGUCAAUAAAUUUGGUUGAUGCUUUGAUUUUUGUUUGUUUGCAAAACUUGCUUGAUUGAGGCGACCAAUGAAGGGUCAUGUAGACAUCUUGUGCAACUUCUCAUCUUCAUGUUAAUAACUUAAUAUGGAAAGAAUGUUGAUGCAAGCAAAUGGGGGGGGGGGGGGCAUCUUCAUGUUCAUCCAACACCAAUGCAUGGUACAUCAUGUUGAUACAUGAUACAAAUAUUUUGGUUCACAAUCUACAAAGCCAUGAAGACCAAGCGAAAAGUACCGAGAGCAGAGUACUACCGUCAUUAACUAUUCGUGUUAUUCCUCGUCGCCACAACUAUUGGGGCCACCAAUAGAAUGCAACAAUGAGACACAAUGUCGAUGAUCGACACACAAUUAUGAUAUCCCUUCUUCUGGACUAUGAUGUUGAUGAUAACCGGAAUAUGUUGCACGGGGAUAGUGUCCUACAUUCGUAUAAAAAAGAGGUAAAUCCUUCGCAUCUUCCUUGUUGUGGACAAAUGGACUUUUCUCUUACGAUUUUUUCGUUCAUUGUACACCUAUGGCCUUAGUAUUUCAAGUGAGCCUCAUGUUUACUACACCUACUCAUGGCACACAAGCCACUUUACAAAUUCAUAAUACUAAAAAUAUAACGAAUACAUAUGAUACUAUUAUACAUAACAAUUAAUCACAAAUAUCAACACAAACUUUUCUAUGCAUUGCACAAAAUUUAAUUUCAUAUUUGAGGUUAAGCAUGUACACUUUAUUGAGGUACAUAUAUAUAAUUAUAUCAUGAUAUGGUGUCUAUGUUAUUGCAUCACAACCUAGUCUUUAUGGAGUGGAAAACCCGCAUGCUAAUCGUAUUUAAAUUAUCAUUUUUUUGCUCGUGUCCUGAAAUGACGGUUAAAAAUCAACAUGUGAUGUGUUAUUAUUUAAUUUUAAGUGUAUGAAAUAAAUUUGUGCGUACUUUUUUUAAAAACUAUUAUGUAGAUAGAAGCGGGUAGGAUCGUGAUCUUGUUUUAGUAUUUCAAUAUCCCAUACCAUGUAGUAAUACAAUGUUGCUUUGUUUUUAAGUUUAACUUUGAAUUGUUAGACUAUGAUAUAUCUACACUUUCUACCUAUAUUUGUCCAUGUUUCCCCUAAAAAUCUUUGUAGAAGCCUUUAGAAUGCAUGAGCUAACUUGGAUGUUGAUGUGUCUACUGGAUUUGAAUUGAAUGGUAGGUGAUACGAUGCUUCAUUUGUGAUAUAUGUUUAUUUUAUGAUUUUUAUGACGAUAAUUUAUGUUAUCAGUUAACACUUAAAAUUAGAGUGUGUGGUAUCUACUUGCGCGUGAAUGACUAUCUAGAGAGCUACAUAAUCAUUCCAGGAAAAUAUCAAAAUGAGAGAGAGUUCCCUGAACUAGCGAUUCAUUCAAAAAAAAAAGGUCCCUUCCAUUUUCAUAAAAUAGGUACCUUUAGUGGAAUGUUCGCCUUCCAAAUCAUAACCCAUGUUGUCCAAACGUUGUCUGGUCUGGUGCUUAAAGCACCCACAUAUUGAUGAAGCAUGGGUUACCGAAAGCUAUCAUAUAAAAACUCGUAACCAAGAGCAUAAUCUGCUUACCAGGGUGCCAUUCUAGGAAAUAUAAGCAAUCUGAUGUUAUGUGUUGGAUUCUAAGAUUUCUUUCACAUCAAGCGGCAAAAGUGUUACAAUCCACAUCAUUUCCUACUUGGUACUAACUCUCGAAGAAGAAAUAAACAUGAAUCAAAUGGUAUAACUAAUUCAUCGCCGAUCUUAUUUUCGCACCGAAAGGACCUAGAUGUUGCUUAAAGGGGCAUAGGCAGUUUAAACCAAUUACGAGUUUUCCUGAACAAAUGUGGAAAUAAAAAUAGCGUCUAAUUUAUCAAACACAAAACCUAAAUAAGCUAGACACAGCUAUGUGCACCAACAACUUAUGCUAAACAAGAUAAACAACUAUAUGAUAGCAAGAUAAAUAACUUCAAACACAUAUAUCACAAUUUAAAUGCAUAAGUAAAGAGCUAAGGUAUAAAAGUAAUGAGACACAUGAAGACUAAGAUCUAUCCUAAAGUUCACUUUUCAAAUAAAGCUAAUUUUCGUUGAAGAGGCGUGAAGGCUCAAUGCUCUUGAAGCAACACUAAGGGUGUGUUUGGUAGCCUAGGUCAACAGAGAAUAGCUAUCUACACUCAUACAAGCUGACCCUAGCUUAGUUGGACUCAGAUUUUUUCAGUGUGUUUGGUAGCCCUGGCGAGCUGAGACAUGCUGAGUGGGUCUGUUGUUUGGUGGGUUGUAUGUAGUGAGAAUUAUAAAAUUUGCACAACUGACCCUUGCCUACAAAAAUGAGACACAACCGGAUCCCUAUAUAAUACUAUAUAUUAUAGGGCAACCUACUUCAUUUUUCUCAUAAUUUUGAGGCAUGCUCUGAGUGAACGUCCUGUUGACACGUGUGUUGUUUGGGUUAAUUGAUUUCCGAAGGGUUUCUUCUGUGUGUAGUUUUGGUGCCUCUAGGAAAUUUCCGGUGAUCCUUUUUCACGUUCUUCGAUUCCGAUGUUGCACUAUCGUGGUCUUCUAUUUGGGUGCCUAUAGCUGCCUAUAGCACCGUUUAGCUAUUCUCCCCACGUGUCCUCUCUCGAUAACUCCCGAAAUCCCCAAUCAGAUCGCCUCUCUUCUUGGUCGUCUCCGGCAUCCACGAGGGCGGCGUGGCCCGUGGGGUGGAGGGGCGUGGCGCGGCGUCCUAUGACGAUGGUGGCGCAUGCGUGCUGGUGAAUGAUGCGGAAGGCCUAUCCAUGUCCUGGUGGUGCCACCAGCCACCGGCCGCGGAGACCGACGGCGAACGGCAGCGCGACCACUGGGAGCGCUCCCUGCGUCGGCCAUGGCUUCUCCUCCUCCGUCUCGGCUUCGUGGUGGUGGAGGUGCAGCUGGUGGACGUUCCCGUGGUGGUGAUUGCACGCGCCGCCGCUGCCCGCGACGCCCCCACGCCUACAUCGCUGUCCUCCCUCCCGCGGCGUCGACUGCUUCAAGAAUGUCGAUCAAAUCGGCGAGGGAACCUACGGGAAAGUCAACAUGGCAGGAGACGAAGACGACCAAGAUUGUGACCCUCGAUAAGAUCCGCGCGAGUAUAGGGGUGGUCUCCUGGCGCGGGCGCGGGAGGCGUGAACGUCGGGUCGCUGAUCUCCCCGGCGACCAGCCUCGGCUGCUACUGGUUUGCCUUGGUUUUCUGCUACUGUUCCUCCUGGCACGGCUGGUUCAGCGCGGACCACUGCUUCUUGUUUUGUGCUGGACACUUCUCCGGGUGUGCGCGUUCAUGCCGGUGGGAAGCCUUCUUCCAAUGAUUCCCAACACUAGAUUCCUGGCCUUCCAGCUACCUCUAUGAUGGCGAGUGAGGCUGGUCCAUCCUCUUCACGAUCUGUUCGAGCUGCGGAAUCUGCACACAAGAGGAGAUUUGUACGAGCUUGAUUUUGCUGUCAUCGGCCGUGAGGGAGACAUAACGGAGGAUUGUGUGCCACAAAACUGCAUCGACCAAUUCAGGGAUCAACGGAAAGAAGGAUCAAUCUUGACGAUUAAUUUUUUUGUUGUCGACAUGCCCAAGACGGCAAGACCUAUAUAGUAUCAGACUGUUCAAUUUCUAUCAGGAACCCAUUAUACAGUGCAUUCAGUCCAAUUUCUUUUAUACCUGCUUUCUUCCCCUCAAAACAACUAAUGAUGCUUUCAUGUACAAUACCUUCUUUGUUUGUUGCUAUGACCGUAGUCAACAGGUAUAAAGAUUUCAGCCACGCACCCCAAAUACUCACCGGUUGGAUUUACCGGCCGCUAACUUUAACCUCUAUCUGGUUUUGACACAAUAUAGGUGUGUGGGCUCUCAAGAGCACACACAUAACAUGUUGUUAUAUAAAUUACUACAGUUUUGAUGCCGGUGGUUUUAUAUUAAUGCAUAAUCAUUACCCCAAGUUGUUAUAUCCGUGCACUGUAUUGUAUUACACAAGGGGGAGAAGCUUUACCACAAGCUGCAGGUGUAUGGUCAAUCUUCAGCAUUGCAAGAGGCAUGUGGUAUUUUUUGGUAUUGUUAGUCAGCUUUUAGCACUAAGCAAACUAGAGAUUGAAGACGAGUUCAAUCACUUUUUCUCCUGGAACAUAUGAAAAAGAUGGGUACUUAGUUUCUUCUAGCCUACUGUGCUGCCAUAUAUUGUUCUCUCCUACGACAAGUUCUUUUGACAGCUUUGAAAGCUCUAUCCAUGCAUAUUCAUUUACUGAUGCCUGAUCUCUGGACUUUUCUAUGCUUUGUAUUGCACUUUAUCAUAGAUAGAUGGUACGUUCUGUUUGCUCUCACGCCGAUAUUCAUGUAUGCUGAGUACCAAAAUACUAAUAUAGUGAGCAUUUUAUGUAGUAUAUUCACAGUAUUUGAUCCAUCGGAAAAAAUGCUGGCAAAAUAGAUUGGUGUUUUGAAAAAUUUGUUGCUACCUGCAGUUCUAUUCUCCUUUCAUAGUCUCUUGCUCCGGCUCUUGGUCUCAGGCAGAUGUGUGUAGCCUGCAGGUCGCAACACUGAAGAAUGGAGCGGUUGGUGGAGGGCGUCUCUACAUUGUUUCCAGAGAGAUAAUGAAAUAGAUGCUGAUUACAUCUUAAACUAAGGUGCAUAAGUUAUCUCAUUCAUUUAUGGUCACUCAACAAACUUCUCCAGUCCAGGAAUUUAAACCUUUUUCAACAGCUCUGCAGAUAUUUUUCCAAAUGUACUGAUAGGUUUAUUUUUCUUCCAAAUUUCUUUACAAGUUCUUCUACAUACUGUUGUCAACUUGUCAUCAAAGUCUCGACGCUUCCAGGAUGGUCAUUGACUAUCUUUCUUAUUAUACUUUUGACAUGCCUCAACAUAUUGUAUUCGUUCCUGGAUUUAGGUUGUCCUUAAAUGGAAAUCACAUCAAGAAAAACAUUUAGAUGGUCAGAUUUAGUGGAUUGAGUUUGUUCAUUUAACAUAAUAAUGGAAUUAAUCCUGAAUUGCUGACUAAUAUCCUGGUGAGUGCCUCUUUUCAUGUGAUCAUACUGCAAUAUUGGUUCAACUCUUGUGAAUGCCUUUUUUCUUUUCUUUGAGCAUACUGCAAUAUUGGUUCAUCUCUUUCAGCUGUACAGUCUCAUGUUUUAUGGGCACCAUACCUGUCGGGUGCAACAUAAAGUGAUAAUGACAUAUGUCCCAUAAACUAUGUAUAUAGGUUUUUGAUCUAACAUCGUACUCUCCCUAAUUUCUCAUAUAUAUUCUUAUCCUGCCCUUUUGGUAUUCCUGGUAUGCCACUUGCUUUCUUAGGAUUAUUCACUGUAAUAAUAUAAUUUGUCAUUUAACUGCUCAAUACAUGAAGUAGAGGUUGAUUUUAAUGACAUGUGAUGGUAGAAAAUGUCUAUUUUUUCAGUAAAAUUUUCAGAUUUCAGAUGAACUUCUUUAAAUAUGGUGAGGAUAUAACACAUGGUAAAUCAAAUAGGUGGUAUGUAUGCAGUGAUCUUUUGAUGGCCUAUGGUAGAACCAAGAAUUAUACAUGAACACUACUAAUGUGCUCAGUUCACCUGAACUAAAUGAUGGGCGCGUACCAAGCUUCAAGAAAUUUUCCUGGAGGCACAUUCAUGUAUUUUUGUUCUGUUGGGUACAUUUUGAUAUAUUUGCCGUCCUUCUGGUUUCCAAUUUAUCUUAUUUUCGUAUUUGUCAUUUUGAUUUUCUUAAGUAGUGGAGUUUGUAAAUGAUACCGUUUAUUAUUGAGGAUAACUUGCUAAUGCUUAUCAACCACUAUGUACUUUAUACUCAUUUAUACAAGUGACUCUUGCAAGUUUCUUAACUAGGUAUUCACGGUACUACCAAUAUGCAUGAAUGGAGUUGAGGAAUUUCAAAGCGCCUUUAAAAGGUUGUAUGGGUCGUUGCUACCAUCAUUGUUUAAGAGUUUCAAGUUGUAAUAUGGCCACUUACAGAAGGAGUAACAAAUUCGCUAGAAAGUUAAUGUAUUCACAGUUCUUGGUGUAAGAAUGUUAUCAAGUGAGUUUAGUUUUGGUUUCUAUCUAAAUGUCCACUUCAAAAAAACAAAGACCAAUAUAGAGUUUUCAGUAUGGUUACACAAUUAUCAAUUACA